GUCCGCGGGGUUGCAGGGGCUGGGGGUGGCGCGAGGGGGGCCGAGGCUCGGGCCGGGGGUGGGGCUCCUCCGCCCGCCAGUCGCUCCCGCAUUAAAAUUUCAUGGGCGCUGCAGCAGCUUACAAAGACGACGCCGGCUGAGCUCGGGGGACCGGAGGGAGGGAGGCUGCGGACGAGUGCGGGGAGGAGUUUGCGAUGGGAGGCGCUUGCAGGGGCUCCCCCAGUUCUGCGCCGUGAGCCCGGGCACAAAGAGCCCUCUGCACUCGCGCCGCAGGACCGCGGACCCGAGUGACAGCUGGACCCAUCACCCUGCCCACCCAUGGGGUUGCAGACACAUCGACGUGACCACUACGACCAUAACAGCAUCGAAGAACAGCCAGGAUGACCCUUCUGUGCACCCUUGGGGUAACAGACUCCAGCUUCAUGCUAUGAAAUCCAUUUGGGUGGAAACCCCCUGAAUCUUAGAGGUUUGCCUUUUCUGGACAUGUCACGUACGUACAUGGAGUCAAACAGCACGCAGCCUCUUGUGCCUGGCUUCUUUUCUCUCUGUAUUCUAUCUUCGAGGUUCGUCCAAGUCGCAGCACGUAACAAUCAUUUAUUCCUCUUUACUGAGGCGUAGCUUUUGUUAUACGAACGUACGAAUGUUCAUCCACCCACAAGGACAGGAUUUUGACUUGAUCUGUGUUACUGGGGUUAAAGGCACCCGCAUUUCAGGAGGCAUAUCCUGUUUCUGGGACACUGGUGUUACACAGAUAUUUCCUCGACAGGUGAAAACAAUUUUGGGAGCUCUCACCGUGUGCCAAGUCAGUGGCUACACCUUGGAGCGUAAUGAACAUCGAGUCGCACAUCGGACAGCUACCUGCUUGAAUCAAGGGUUGACGUUUCCCUCGAAACCUUCAUUGCCUUAUGGAUAUCGGGGUCUGCGGAACCAGGGGAAGGGCCACUGUGAACAGCCUAGGGUCUAUUAACAGAGUGCAGCGAGGUCCUGGGACAGAGGAGAGAGAAGGGAUUUCCGAGUUCCUCCCGAACGUUCCUGGCCACACCCGGGAAGCCGCCUUGCAGAUAAGUAUUCCAGUUUACCUGCCCACAGCCUACCCGCCUGCUCUCUCUCAGUCUGUGCAGGAAAGUACAGAACCUCAGAAUCCCCAUGUGGGAGGGGAGAUGGGUGAUCAGAUUUUCUAGCCCUCUAGGUCACAAACAGAGACCUUUUCCCCAUUUUACGGGGCCCCAGAGAGGGUGACCGUCACACCCCUCUUUUGGCACGGAGGCUAGCAUUUAGUCAACUCCACCAUCAGGAACUUCUGUAGACUGGAGUUUAAUGACCUCAUAUUGAGAACCUGUAGAUCUGGGGUCAGAAGAAGUGAGUCAGAUGGGGGUUGGGGACUCCUGGUGGCUCUUCUCAGUGGCCCUUUGUCAUUAUCAUAUUUAUAAAGCUUGGCCCAGGGCUCCUUUACCCAGCAGUGAAGUGGGGACGUGGGCACGGUGACUCUAGGGCCACAUUCUUUCCUCCAGAUCUGGACCCGUGCCCUGAGUCCCAGGUGCCCGAAGCAAGCUCUGGACACAUGCUAAGAGGCGCCCCCGACUCUCCUGGCCCAGCUCUGCCAGCCGAUGAAGAGAGCUUAGCUGUCACCAGAAGCAAAACUGAGAUAUGAUUCUGGGUCAGGACUAGGAGGCAUUUGAUGGGGGCAAAAACGUAUCCGAGGCUGAUCUGUAGGGCCCCCCUCUUUCCCCUCCACUGCCUCACACUGUGGGUUAGUACUGUGCACUCUGGGUGAACGUAGGGCUGGAAGGAUCCCAGGGUGCAGAGAGAGAGAGAGAGAGAGGGACAGACUUCCCCGGGGCUACACAGAAUGGCAAAGCUGGAUCAGGACUCUGGAUUCCUGACUCCAUUCACUGCUUCUGCUCAGCUGAAUUUGUCUUACUUUGUCCUGAGGCCCCUUCUGCAGUUUUUGGGGAACAGGGAGGUGGGUGAGGGAGCCCCCCCUUAUCCCGAGGACAUUCUGGGGUGGGAGGAAGGGAGGUAAAGGGGAGUGUGUCUGGGCCCAGCCUCUCUGGCCCAGGGUGCCCUUCUUCUUACUAGCAGAGAAUUCUGGCCAGGCCCGGGCUGGGGGAUGGGGUCUGGGUGCAGUUUUCUCCUGCGGUGUGGUUGGCUCUUUUGUCUUCCAGGAUGGGAUCUACACGGAAAAGGAGCUGGGAGCUGGGCCUGGGCUGCCCACGUGCUGGCUGGGUGCUUCCAGGUAAACCUGGCACAAACACGGACCAAGUACCUUCUCCCAGCGAGAUUCCGGGGAUCCAGAGGUUCACUCCAGAGACACAGUUCCACCCUCUCAGAUCUUCACACCAGAAUGUGCUUUAUCACGGUCUCAGAGAAGGAGUGGCCCUUCCCGGCUGCGUCUCCAGGACUCCUGGUGUGGUCUCUCUGGAGCCCGCGUGACUCUGGACUCCGGCCACAGUGAUACAGGGAGCAGCCUUUGCUGGUUUUCUGGAACUCUGGACAAUUCUCGAGAGACCUCAUUUUUCCCAGCUGCUCAGAUGGAGCCUCAGACAAAAGGAUCAAGGGCCCUUCUGGUUGGCGCUUGGCUGAGGACAGGCCCUGGCUCUGGAGGGCAGCUGGAGGGAGGGCUACGAGGGAGGCUGGCCGCCCACUGUCCCUCCGUGUCCCCCUAGACCCUGCCUAUCAGACCUUACCUUGUGUGCCUGGACACCACUUUUUGGCCUUGUGCCGACCUGAUGGCUCUCUGCAGCCCUGCUCCUGGGCCAAGGCCCCACGGACCAUACCCUUACCAAGGCUGGGUCUGGAAGGACCCUCCAGGCUGGGGCAGGACCACAGGGAUGGGAGUCAGGGUGGAGCUGCCUAGUGGAAGGGAGGCCAGACACAGCUUCGUGGGCUCCAUCGCCUGGCGUCUGUCUUGCGCCGUUUGCCUUGAGCGAUUCUCAUUUUUGUGGGUGCUUUUUGGAUGAGGUUUUUCUCUGUUGCUUUCUGCCUGAUGGUCACAGGAAGGGGGCAGUCAGGGUCUGGGAGGAGUCCGGGCCUUCCCCCAGUGUGGUUGAGUUUUGGGAGACAGAUGGAGAGGCAGAAGCUGUGCUAUCCCGAAAGGGGAGGGUUUGUAAGAGAUGAGGAGGCCCAGGUAGGGGGAGCUUGCCAGAGGGAGACAGAAACUGGGCCCUUUUCGCACCAUCCAAAGGGAACAGGCUGGAUCCAGCCUUGUCCCCAGGCUCGAGGGGUCAGAUGACCCCAGCCAGAUCUCUGAUCUCUGUUCCUUAUUGCACAGAUCCUUGAUUCUGUCCUUGGGGGACCAAGCAGUGCAGGUCCCAGGCACAUGCAGCCCUCCCCUGUCACACGGCUGCACGUUCACCUCCCUGGGCACGUCUCCAUUCUCCACCCUCCAUUCUCCAGCCUGUCUGGGGGGUGGGGAGCGGGGGUCCAGUGCUAGCCCAGAAGCAGUCCGUGGGUUUCCAUAGGCAGGUUGAAAAGCCGGUGUUCUUUUCCUAAGCGGAGAGGGAGCCUGAAUUAGCUCAAGCUAUCCUAAAAGCAGACCACACCCCGGGAGGGAGGCUUAAACAGCAGAAAUGUGUUUUCUCAUAGUUCUGGUAGCUGGAAGCCCAAGAUCCAGGUGGGAAUGAUGGUUUCUCCCAAGGUCUCUUUCGUUAGCCUGUAGAGAGCCACCUUCUCCGUGUGUCCUCACUGGGCCUUUUCUCUGUGUGCACUUAGUGGGGGAGGGAGGAAGAGGGACCGAUCUGGUGUCUCUUCCUGUUUUUCGAAGGAGUGCCAGUCCUGUCGGAGGAGGGUCCCACUCUUAGGGCCUCUUUGAGCCUUAAUUUCCUCUGUAAAGGUUCCAUCGCCAAAUACGGUGGCUUUGGGGGUGACGGCUGCAACCUAUGGAUUUGCGGGGGCGGGAUCCAGUCACACAGAUGCUUACUGCGAAGGUGGAAAGAAGGAGUCAUCUUCCCCUCAGCAGCCCCACAGCCACGGGGAGAGGGAGGGAGAGCAGACGUAGGGGACGUAGGGACUAAGAGUAGGUGACGUAGGGACCGAGAGUAGGUGACACUGUGCUAGGAUGGUCCCAGUGCUUUAGGGAUACAGGGAGCUGGCUGGACCAGGGCAGUGAGGAGGAGUCCCAGGGGAAGGCUGUCCUGGGAGGAGCCUGAGCUUUGGAGCCGCAGGGUGUGUCUCCCGCUACACAAUCUUGAGCAAGUCACCUCACCUCUGUGAGUCCUAUGUCCAUUCUGUAACAGGAACCAUCUGCUCCGCUGGAGGGGAGGGCAGUGCAGGAGGAGUCAGUAAAGGCUCAUGCCUGCCCAGUGCAGGGCUCCUAGCGGGUUGCUCCGUCAACACUCCCAUCUGUUUGGGGGUUUAGAUUCAGGGCUUAUCUAUUUUCGGUGCUCCAGAACUGCCAGCUCGGCAUCUUCUAAGCCAGAGGCACUUCCGCUGCCUGUGUUUCUUAAUAUCUACCUCAAAUCAGCUUGGGGAGGUAGCUGCACUUUAUGGUCUCCUGAGUAGCUCCAAAUGCCUCCUGGGAUACCCUCUCAUCAGGAGUGAGCGCCUACCAUGGGCCCUUUUUUCCUGUGCUGGUUGCUUGCAGGGGGAUAUAGGUGAAGCUCUAGGCAUGAUUGAAACGUACAGGAUGGCACCGCCAAGCAAUUGGAACUGGAGGACUGGAGAAGCGGGCAGAGAACAGUCCACUCAGUCAUAGGUUCUGAGUGCUCGGGGUUGGGGGGUGGGAGUAAGGUCCCAGAAUCACCUGGGCAGUCUUCCCAGGAAGGUUUUGAAGGAUGAGAAAGAUGUGGCUUAGCUGACAGCUUCCAGGCCCCUGGAAGAGAUUUGCAAAGUAAGUCCUAGGAGAUACCAUUGCUCUUA
This is a long non-coding RNA of Lutra lutra (Eurasian river otter), 4857 nucleotides long. RefSeq lists it as uncharacterized. NCBI's taxonomy places the organism in Eukaryota, Metazoa, Chordata, Mammalia, Carnivora, Mustelidae. The record is from RefSeq and is a predicted model, not a curated record. The transcript is spliced from 6 exons.